Molecule: ribosomal RNA, 253 nt
Filed under: uncultured bacterium
Lineage: Bacteria
Description: partial 16S ribosomal RNA
Rfam family: Bacterial small subunit ribosomal RNA
Source: RNAcentral
UACGUAGGGGGCAAGCGUUACUCGGAAUUACUGGGCGUAAAGCGCGCGCAGGCGGCUUUGCAAGCCAGAUGUGAAAUCCCCGGGCUUAACCUGGGAACUGCAUUUGUGACUGCAUGGCUAGAGUGCGGGAGAGGGGGAUGGAAUUCCGCGUGUAGCAGUGAAAUGCGUAGAUAUGCGGAGGAACACCGAUGGCGAAGGCAAUCCCCUGGGCCUGCACUGACGCUCAUGCACGAAAGCGUGGGGAGCAAACAGG